Small nuclear RNA from Neogale vison (American mink), 104 nucleotides. The record is from Ensembl. NCBI's taxonomy places the organism in Eukaryota, Metazoa, Chordata, Mammalia, Carnivora, Mustelidae.
AGGCUCCCUUUGGCAGCACAUAUACUAAUAUUGGAAUCAUACAGAGAUUAGCAUGGCUCCUGAGCAAGGAUGGCACACAAGUUCAUGAAGCAUUUCAUAUUUAC